Molecule: non-coding RNA, 62 nt
Organism: Gasterosteus aculeatus (three-spined stickleback)
Lineage: Eukaryota; Metazoa; Chordata; Actinopteri; Perciformes; Gasterosteidae
Source: Rfam
AUCUUUGGUUAUCUAGCUGUAUGAGUGAUGUACAUUCUUCAUAAAGCUAGAUAACCGAAAGU